Molecule: ribosomal RNA, 758 nt
Filed under: uncultured bacterium
Lineage: Bacteria
Description: bacterial SSU rRNA
Rfam family: Bacterial small subunit ribosomal RNA
Source: RNAcentral
GAUGAACGCUAGCUACAGGCUUAACACAUGCAAGUCGAGGGGCAUCGGGAAGAAAGCUUGCUUUCUUUGCUGGCGACCGGCGCACGGGUGAGUAACACGUAUCCAACCUGCCCUUUACUCGGGGAUAGCCUUUCGAAAGAAAGAUUAAUACCCGAUAGCAUAAUGAUUCCGCAUGGUUUCAUUAUUAAAGGAUUCCGGUAAAGGAUGGGGAUGCGUUCCAUUAGGUUGUUGGUGAGGUAACGGCUCACCAAGCCUUCGAUGGAUAGGGGUUCUGAGAGGAAGGUCCCCCACAUUGGAACUGAGACACGGUCCAAACUCCUACGGGAGGCAGCAGUGAGGAAUAUUGGUCAAUGGGCGGUAGCCUGAACCAGCCAAGUAGCGUGAAGGAUGAAGGCUCUAUGGGUCGUAAACUUCUUUUAUAUAAGAAUAAAGUGCAGUAUGUAUACUGUUUUGUAUGUAUUAUAUGAAUAAGGAUCGGCUAACUCCGUGCCAGCAGCCGCGGUAAUACGGAGGAUCCGAGCGUUAUCCGGAUUUAUUGGGUUUAAAGGGAGCGUAGGUGGACUGGUAAGUCAGUUGUGAAAGUUUGCGGCUCAACCGUAAAAUUGCAGUUGAUACUGUCAGUCUUGAGUACAGUAGGGGUGGGCGGAAUUCGUGGUGUAGCGGUGAAAUGCUUAGAUAUCACGAAGAACUCCGAUUGCGAAGGCAGCUCACUGGACUGCAACUGACACUGAUGCUCGAAAGUGUGGGUAUCAAACAGG